RNAcentral lists this long non-coding RNA (1001 nucleotides) under Sus scrofa (pig). Its description in RNAcentral is "lncRNA (ENSSSCG00065017864.1)". Lineage: Eukaryota; Metazoa; Chordata; Mammalia; Artiodactyla; Suidae. The record is from RNAcentral.
GGCAGAGGGUGGGAGGAGACGGGCUGGCCGAGGGGCAGAGAAAAGGCAGGAAGGAAGCUGAUAUAAAAAAAAAAAAAUCUAUCUUGAGAAACAAUUCCUCUCCAUCUUUAAACCUAUGAAACUCAAAAAAUAAAAUCUGCUCUUGAAAUCUAAUGAUUAGACAGGCAUAGAAUACCAGUUAUAGACAUUCUGGCUAAAAGGGGAGAAAAUUUAAAGGAAAAAAGAAGUCACUAGUUCAAAAUAUUUUCAAAAUUCAGCUGUUUAAACUUCCUUUGUAUUACAUAAAAUUAAUUAUUAUUAUAUAAAUAUUAUUUUAUUUAAUGAUGGGAUUAUAGUAUUUCUUUGUGUGUGUAAUAAAACUUGAAACAAUCUUACAACAAAUUUAAUUGCUUAAUCCUUACCUUCCUCCGAGUUAACCUGACAAGUAAACUUUGAUUGUUUUUUUCUAUAAGUAUUUUAGACAUUAAGUUGCCACAUAUUACAUGUUUAUUUUGGUUUAGCUGUGUGUUCCUGGGAUCAAUNUUUUUUUUUUUUUUUUUUUUUUUUUUAUGUCUUUUUAGGCCACACUCGCAGCACAUGGAUGUUCCCAGGAUGGGGUCGAAUCGGAGCUGUUGCUGCUGGCCUACGCUAGAGCCACAGCAAGGCCAGAUCUAGCCAUGUCACGGCAACACCUGAUCCUUAAACCUACUGAGCAUGGCCAGGGAUUGAACCCUCAAUCUCAUGGUUCUAGUUGGAUUCGUUUCCUCUGUGCCACGACAGGAACUCCAGAAUUGGAUACCUUUAAUAUCUUCAUGGAAACUUCAUUUUGGCCUUUUGUCAAGGUCCUUAGGCAUUUGUCUACCUUGAGAGUUCCAGAAGCAACAACAUUGACAUUAACCCAUAUGGGGACCUUAGUUGAGGAGGAGGUGGCAGUACAGCAGUGGGAAGAGGACAGAUCUGUUAAUUUUUGCAUCUAUAGUUCUAUUUUUGGUAGUUUACUUAGAAAGUCACCUCCUAUCUGA